UGUCAGCCCAAAGGUCCAUAGGUCCGUAUCUAAAUAGACACUUAUUCCACUGUUCGAGGUAAACAAACAAGAAAGGGUACAGCUAAGGCGAAAACAAAAGCGACUUUCAGCCAGUGCCUAGACUCCAAGCAGCGAAUUUGUUUCUGAGACCUUGUGUAUGGAUACACGUGUACUUAAAACAGCCCCGCCAA
Molecule: long non-coding RNA, 191 nt
Organism: Loxodonta africana (African savanna elephant)
Lineage: Eukaryota; Metazoa; Chordata; Mammalia; Proboscidea; Elephantidae
Rfam family: Deleted in lymphocytic leukemia 1 conserved region 1
Source: Rfam